UUCCAAGCUACAAAGAGCCAAUGGUGGAUGCCUUGGCGCCUAAUGCCGAUGAAGGACGUGGAAGGCUGCGAAAAGCUACGGUGAGCUGCCGAUCAAGCGUUGAACCGUAGAUGUCCGAAUGGGGAAACCCUACACCCGUCAUGGGGUGUAACUCUCGCCUGAACACAUAGGGCGAGUAGAGGGAACCGGGUGAAUUGAAACAUCUCAGUAACCCGAGGAAUGGAAAGCAACUGCGACUCCCUGAGUAGCGGCGAGCGAAACGGGAAGAGCCUAAACCGAAUGCGUGUCAAGCCUGGUGGCGUUGCGUAUUCGGGGUUGUGGGAGCGAGUGGUCAGAACACCAGAUCUGACACAGAGUUACCAAACUGCCGUGUAGUGGAAGCUUCUGGAAAGGAGCGCCGCAGAGGGUUAUGGCCCCGUACACGAAACAUGAGCAGUCUCUGACUCGAUUUCCCGAGUAGCGCCGGUUCCGUGAAGGCCGGCGUGAAUCUGCGAGGACCACCUCGUAAGGCUAAGUACAGUUAGGCGACCGAUAGCGAACUAGUACCGUGAGGGAAAGG
RNAcentral lists this ribosomal RNA (559 nucleotides) under Candidatus Saccharimonadota bacterium. Its description in RNAcentral is "partial 23S ribosomal RNA". It matches the Rfam family "Bacterial large subunit ribosomal RNA", at positions 1 to 514 of the family's 2925-position model. The record is from RNAcentral. Lineage: Bacteria; Candidatus Saccharimonadota.